Molecule: long non-coding RNA, 1533 nt
Organism: Bos taurus (domestic cattle)
Lineage: Eukaryota; Metazoa; Chordata; Mammalia; Artiodactyla; Bovidae
Source: Ensembl
CCAAGUCACAGAGCUCAUAAGUGAAGAAGUCAGGAUUUUCUUUUUUUGUCCCACUGUGGUUUCUUUUCUUUUUUUUUUCCCAGAGUGUGAAAGUGAAAGUGUUAGUUGCUCAGUCGUGUCUAACUUUUUGCGACCCCAUGGACUAUACCUCUGUCCGUGGGAUUCUCCAGGCAAUAAUACUGGAGUGGGUUGCCAUUCCCUUCUCCAGGGGAUCUUCCCCACCCAGGGAUUGAAUCCCUGGUAUCCUGCAUUGCAGGCAGAUUCUUUACCAUCAGAGCCACAUGGGCCUCUUAUUGGAGUAUAGGUGAUUUAAAAUGCUGCAUUUGUUCCACAGUUGAACUGUGGUGAUGGCUGCUGCUACUGCUGCUAAGUCGCUUCAGUCGUGUCCGACUCUGUGCGACCCCAUAGACGGCAGCCCACCAGGCUCCUCCGUCCCUGGGAUUCUCCAGGCAAGAACACUGGAAUGGUGAUGGCUACCUUUAGUCAAAAUUCAUAGAAACAGACAAAAGAGAGAGUCCAGAGUGACGUGAACUCCACGUGGAUUUGCUCAGAGGUGACCAGGCUCGAGCUGCUGUAACAAGAAUUCCACAGGCUGGGAGGCUCACAGAAGAGAUGUUUAAGAAGGCUGGGAACCCAAGGUCAAGGUGCUGUCCUCGAGGCUUGCAGACCUCCGCCCCCCUGCUGUGUGCUCACGUGGCAGAAGCAGACCGAGGUCACUUCCUGGUGUCUCUUCUUUUAAAGGCACAAACCCCACUCACAGGGGCCCCACCCUCCUGAGCUUAUUCCCUCUGAAGGCCCCAAGUUGCACUGGGGGUUGGGGCAUUAACAUAUGGACUUGGGGAACACAGGCUUUCAGUCCACAGCAGAACGCCGGCACCACAUGCACACGAGUCAAAAACUAAGAUGAAAUAGUAUAUCCCCAACUCCUCAUCAACAGCCAGCGACAAGGAAAGUGCAUCCGCAAGUUUGCUUCGGAUGCUGUCAAAUCAGAAUGCUUUCCAAUGGUGCCUGAGAUGUGAAGAGUAUCAGCCAUCUUUGGCUGAAUAUAUUUGUGUAUGCGUCUUAAACUUGAUUCCUGACCAACUAACAAUAAUUAACCCUCUUACCUUUUAGCUUCUGUAUUUUGAUUCUUUAAAAUGUCAACUUGAAUGUUGUAUAGCUCUGUGGUACAGGAAAUACGCUACUUUAAAUAUAUCCUUACAUAUUUAAGUCAACACAAAGUCUGUUAUAUCUGAUUCUGAAUUACGAGGUUUCUGUCUAAAUUCAGUGGUGGAGAACACUGAUGCUGUUGUUCAGCCGCUCAGUCGUGUCUGUCUCUUUGUGACCCCAUGGACUGCAGCACACCAGGCUUUCCUGUCCUUCACCAUUUCCCGGAGUUUGCUCAGAUUCAUCUUCACGGAGUCAACGAUGGCAUUCAAAGAGAGCUAGCUUCAUAAAAAUGUUUUAGGACGAGAUGGAAAUGUUUUGGUUCUGUGUUUCAAGAAAGAAAAGUAAUGAGUGUCUGGGAUCAUUAAACUCUUUAAUAAAAAGUUC